This 449-nucleotide ribosomal RNA is filed under the name uncultured bacterium. RNAcentral's name for it is "partial 16S ribosomal RNA". It matches the Rfam family "Bacterial small subunit ribosomal RNA", at positions 354 to 796 of the family's 1533-position model. The record is from RNAcentral.
GUGGGGAAUCUUCCGCAAUGGACGAAAGUCUGACGGAGCGACGCCGCGUGAGUGAUGAAGGCCCUUGGGUCGUAAAGCUCUGUCAUCAGGGACGAACGGUCACGUCAGGAAAUGGGCGUGAAUUGACGGUACCUGAGAAGGAAGCCACGGCUAACUACGUGCCAGCAGCCGCGGUAAUACGUAGGUGGCGAGCGUUGUCCGGAAUUAUUGGGCGUAAAGCGCGCGCAGGUGGGAUCUUAAGUCUGUUCUGAAAGUUCGGAGCUUAACUCCGUGAUGGGAUGGAAACUGGGAUUCUUGAGUAUCGGAGAGGAAAGCGGAAUUCCCCGUGUAGCGGUGAAAUGCGUAGAUAUGGGGAGGAACACCAGUGGCGAAGGCGGCUUUCUGGACGAUGUCUGACACUGAGGCGCGAAAGCCAGGGGAGCGAACGGGAUUAGAUACCCCGGUAGUCC